GCAGCUAGUGGGUGGAGGGCCCUAACAUGGGCUUAUUCAAAAGGAGAUGUCAUUAGAAGGUUGAUACACACAUACACAGACAGAUAGAGACGAGAUAAUCUUUCUUGUGGACAAUCAUCUGUCAUCCUUUUCUUAAAGUUGUAAAAUAAAAAAAUCCCAUAUCCUUGUUUUGAUCUUCAUUUAUAUAUGUAUAUACAUGGCCCUAAGCCCAAGACAAUUAUCUCAAAGGAAAUAGCUUGAGAUGGGUUAGAGACAAAACUAACAUACUCAAACAUGAGGGAAAUAAAUAAAAGAAUCUGCUGAAUUUACCUCAGUACAAGAGCAUGCAGAUACCAGGUCUAUAAUUCAAUUUUGGAAAAAUGAAUUUUGCUUAUUUUCCCUUUAAGUUACAGGCAAAUUCCUCUGAGAUCCAAUUCAUGACGAGAAGAUGAAGAAAUGGAAUUCUCUCUGUGCUAUAUUACAAGGAGCGAUAAUUGAUUUGGCUCCGAA
Molecule: unclassified non-coding RNA, 489 nt
Filed under: Hevea brasiliensis (rubber tree)
Lineage: Eukaryota; Viridiplantae; Streptophyta; Magnoliopsida; Malpighiales; Euphorbiaceae
Source: RNAcentral